This 107-nucleotide small nucleolar RNA is filed under the name Oryza sativa Japonica Group (Japanese rice). Its description in RNAcentral is "Plant small nucleolar RNA R71". Lineage: Eukaryota; Viridiplantae; Streptophyta; Magnoliopsida; Poales; Poaceae. The record is from RNAcentral.
CAUCUCAUGAUGAGGACGGGUGGUGACGUAUUCCUGCAGCCUUUCCCAAGCUUUAAGAAUGGUUUCAUCCCUCAUCAGCUGCAAACUGGGUAUUCUUCGACGAGGAG